RNAcentral lists this ribosomal RNA (757 nucleotides) under uncultured archaeon. RNAcentral's name for it is "bacterial SSU rRNA". It matches the Rfam family "Archaeal small subunit ribosomal RNA", at positions 102 to 859 of the family's 1478-position model. The record is from RNAcentral.
GGAUAACCUACCCUUAGGACUGGGAUAACCCUGGGAAACUGGGGAUAAUACUGGAUAGGCAAUUAUUCCUGUAAUGGUUUUUUGUUUAAAUGUUUUUUCGCCUAAGGAUGGGUCUGCGGCCGAUUAGGUAGUUGGUUAGGUAAUGGCUUACCAAGCCUUUGAUCGGUACGGGUUGUGAGAGCAAGAGCCCGGAGAUGGAACCUGAGACAAGGUUCCAGGCCCUACGGGGUGCAGCAGGCGCGAAACCUCCGCAAUGUGAGAAAUCGCGACGGGGGGAUCCCAAGUGCCAUUCUUAACGGGAUGGCUUUUCAUUAGUGUAAAGAGCUUUUGGAAUAAGAGCUGGGCAAGACCGGUGCCAGCCGCCGCGGUAACACCGGCAGCUCUAGUGGUAGCAGUUUUUAUUGGGCCUAAAGCGUCCGUAGCCGGUUUAAUAAGUCUCUGGUGAAAUCCUGCAGCUUAACUGUGGGAAUUGCUGGAGAUACUAUUAGACUUGAGAUCGGGAGAGGUUAGAGGUACUCCCAGGGUAGAGGUGAAAUUCUGUAAUCCUGGGAGGACCGCCUGUUGCGAAGGCGUCUGACUGGAACGAUUCUGACGGUGAGGGACGAAAGCUAGGGGCGCGAACCGGAUUAGAUACCCGGGUAGUCCUAGCUGUAAACGAUGCGGACUUGGUGUUGGGGUGGCUUUGAGCUGUCCCAGUGCCGAGGGGAAGCUGUUAAGUCCGCCGCCUGGGAAGUACGGUCGCAAGACUGAAACUUAA